CAAGAAGCCGAAUGGCUACUUAAAACCAUCGCGAACUUAUCCAAGUUGCUUCGGCGGCGCGGCUCCCCUCACGGGGGACCGCAGCCCCCGCCUCUCAGGAGGUAAGGGGCAGCCGCCGGAGGUACGAAACUCUGUAUUAUAGUGGUAUCUCUGAGUAUAAAACAAAUAAGUUAC
RNAcentral lists this unclassified non-coding RNA (174 nucleotides) under soil metagenome. Its description in RNAcentral is "partial internal transcribed spacer 1". The record is from RNAcentral.